AGCGAACGCUGGCGGCAGGCCUAACACAUGCAAGUCGAACGAACUCUUCGGAGUUAGUGGCGGACGGGUGAGUAACACGUGGGAACGUGCCUUUAGGUUCGGAAUAACUCAGGGAAACUUGUGCUAAUACCGAAUGUGCCCUACGUGGGAAGGAUUUAUCGCCUUUAGAGCGGCCCGCGUCUGAUUAGCUAGUUGGUGAGGUAAAGGCUCACCAAGGCGACGAUCAGUAGCUGGGCUGAGAGGAUGAUCAGCCACAUUGGGACUGAGACACGGCCCAAACUCCUACGGGGGGCAGCAGUGGGGAAUCUUGCGCAAUGGGCGAAAGCCUGACGCAGCCAUGCCGCGUGAAUGAUGAAGGUCUUAGGAUUGUAAAAUUCUUUCACCGGGGACGAUAAUGACGGUACCCGGAGAAGAAGCCCCGGCUAACUUCGUGCCAGCCGCCGCCGUAA
This 449-nucleotide ribosomal RNA is filed under the name uncultured bacterium. RNAcentral describes it as "partial 16S ribosomal RNA". It matches the Rfam family "Bacterial small subunit ribosomal RNA", at positions 29 to 523 of the family's 1533-position model. The record is from RNAcentral.